RNAcentral lists this ribosomal RNA (1027 nucleotides) under Marinobacter aquaticus. RNAcentral describes it as "bacterial SSU rRNA". It matches the Rfam family "Bacterial small subunit ribosomal RNA", at positions 54 to 1074 of the family's 1533-position model. Lineage: Bacteria; Pseudomonadati; Pseudomonadota; Gammaproteobacteria; Pseudomonadales; Marinobacteraceae. The record is from RNAcentral.
CAUGCAAGUCGAGCGGUAACAGGGGUAGCUUGCUACCCGCUGACGAGCGGCGGACGGGUGAGUAAUGCAUAGGAAUCUGCCCAGUAGUGGGGGAUAGCCCGGGGAAACCCGGAUUAAUACCGCAUACGCCCUACGGGGGAAAGCAGGGGAUCUUCGGACCUUGCGCUAUUGGAUGAGCCUAUGUCGGAUUAGCUAGUUGGUGAGGUAAGAGCUCACCAAGGCCACGAUCCGUAGCUGGUUUGAGAGGAUGAUCAGCCACAUCGGGACUGAGACACGGCCCGAACUCCUACGGGAGGCAGCAGUGGGGAAUAUUGGACAAUGGGGGCAACCCUGAUCCAGCCAUGCCGCGUGUGUGAAGAAGGCUUUCGGGUUGUAAAGCACUUUCAGUGAGGAGGAAAACCUUACGACUAAUACUCGUGAGGCUUGACGUUACUCACAGAAGAAGCACCGGCUAACUCCGUGCCAGCAGCCGCGGUAAUACGGAGGGUGCAAGCGUUAAUCGGAAUUACUGGGCGUAAAGCGCGCGUAGGUGGUUCGAUAAGCGGGAUGUGAAAGCCCCGGGCUUAACCUGGGAACGGCAUUCCGAACUGUCGGGCUAGAGUAUGGUAGAGGGUAGUGGAAUUUCCUGUGUAGCGGUGAAAUGCGUAGAUAUAGGAAGGAACACCAGUGGCGAAGGCGGCUACCUGGACCAAUACUGACACUGAGGUGCGAAAGCGUGGGUAGCAAACAGGAUUAGAUACCCUGGUAGUCCACGCCGUAAACGAUGUCAACUAGCCGUUGGGACUCUUGAAGUCUUAGUGGCGCAGCUAACGCACUAAGUUGACCGCCUGGGGAGUACGGCCGCAAGGUUAAAACUCAAAUGAAUUGACGGGGGCCCGCACAAGCGGUGGAGCAUGUGGUUUAAUUCGACGCAACGCGAAGAACCUUACCUGGGCCUUGACAUCCAGAGACUUUUCAGAGAUGGGAUUGGUGCUUCGGGACUCUGUGACAGUGCUGCAUGGCCGUCGUCAGCUCGUGUCGUGAGAUG